UUUUAAUCCAUUACUUAUUUUCUCUUUUCAGUUUUUUUUUCAACUUGAAUGUAAGCCCUAUUCAGUCCUCUCUGAGUCUGACCACAGCAUGCCCCCUCGUGCUCUAGAGCCAAGUAGUUCUCAUGUUUUUGUCCCUACCGCCUCCAAACCUGUGAGUUUAGCAACUCAAAAGGAGGGGGAAAGUCUAAAUUCUCUCGGUCAGGAUCUGAAAGGACUGGUUUCUUUUCACCAUUGACCCCUUUCUGACGGAGGAUGAGGAUAUUGCUUUUUGCUUCCGGGGCGCACAUAUGAAGCCAAGAAGGCAUUCUGUGGCACAAUUUGAGCCUUAAAUCAAUAUAGGGAAAUUGAUCAGGAUCUUCCUGUUCAGGAGCGGUGAAGAUGUUAGCCAGAUGGGCCAGACGAGACCCUCACGUAGGGAAUCUCUCAGUUGACCAAGCUAGGCAAAACUUGGGCCAUUCUAACUCACAAAAGGUUCUAAGUUUUGGAGUUUUAUCUUCAUGCCAUAAUUUCCAGUAAAACCUUUCUUAAAAUUCUUAAGCGUGCAUUCCAAAACAGGAUGAGAUGUUUCUGUCUCCACGGUUGGCUGAUCAGAGUGUUGGUUUGUGUGUGUGGGUACCCUUGUAUGGAGACGCAAGACAAAGGUGGGGGAUCGCUUGCCUGCCUGGCUGCGGGCUUCUUGGCCAUUUUAAGGUCUGUUCAGGCUAAGGUGGGCUGUGUUGUAAGCUCACUGUUGUGUCUUUGUUAAACAUGACCACAGAACUGAAAGACUGACUACACACAAGUUCCGGGAAGACUCUUUAAGCCCAAGCGCUUCCUCCCUCUGCCUUGUUCCGCAGCUCAUUCCACACACUCUGCUAUCCAAAACUCUUUCACUCAUACAUUUAUUCGGAAGUUAUCAGAUUCCCUCCCAGUGACCCCCUAACUAACCAAAACAAAUUAAAGAAGCUACCUCCCCAAGUGGCAAAGCACAAGGGGUGAUUGGGCCCCUGCACUGUUUUUGCCCAAAGUUCACAAAAUGAGCUAAAACAAAUGGGAGGAGAUAUCUUUCCAAAUGGGAAAGAACAAGGAGUGAUCAGGCUCCUGUGCUGUAUUUGCCCAAAAUUACAAAAUACAAAUUCACAAGGUGAAACUGAAAGUGAAUGACUAGGGGAUUUCCCAGGGUUUCUCACCCAGCAAACGAAAGAAACAGACGACACACCAAGAGCAGCAGCCCUCCUGUCAUCUUCCAUCUCAGGUCUAACUAAAUUGUCAAGCAUGGAUUCAAACUUGAGAUCUUCCUGGCUCAGCCUCUGAGUAGCACAAGCACGACCAGCCAAAAAGCGAUUGUGGAGAUUCAGUGGGAUACUAAAGAUGAUAUCCACUUCCAUGUCUGCAACCAUCACCCCAUGGAAGAAGUGUCUCAGCCUGACACAUUACUUCUCUACUCUAGUGGCACUGCUUCAUAUGCCUGCUAAACAUUCCUAAUUGCAUAAAGGCUGCCAUCAAAACACUCAAGUCUUUAUUAAGGGUCUGUAAGCAACCAACAGUGUUAAUCUGGAAUGAGACAUAUCUUUUCAGAGCUUCAGUUUUUCUUUCUAUAACAAAAGGUAGAAGUAGAACAGAUACAUUUUAGGAUUGAGGAGGAACUUUAGAUGUAGUUAUUGACAGAACCUCUUUAUUCUAUCUAAGUCCUAUUGUUAUAACUUACAUUGUUUAAUACAGUUUAAAUUUAUGUUAAUAAAAAUAUAUAUAAAAUUUAAAAUUGCCUUCUUUAGUCUCAUGAGCCACAUGUAAAUUUCAUUUGCCACAUGGGACAGUGGCUACUAUAAUGGACAAUGUCUGCAUUGAUGUGGAACAUUUCCUUCAUCAUUCAGUGUUCUGUUGGAUAGCUGUAAAUUAACCAAUUAUCAUAUCCAAAGCCAAAAUGUCUACAGACACUGUGUCUAAGACUCCCAUCCACUCGUUUUCAUGUUUCCUGGGUCUCAAAUGACAUCAGUGUGGUAGACUUCAUUGUGUCUUUCUCAAAUUCAUGUGGAAACCUGUCUUAAUCCUUUCCCGUGACUGAGGCACAGUACCUGGCACUCAUAACUUGGGGGAGGACAGGUCUAUUUGGCUCAUGGUCACAGUCCAUGCUUGGCUGGCUCCAGGGCAGACUGGCCUGGCAGAGGAGUGCAGUGGAGGAAAAGCUGCUCUUAGCAUGGCAGCCAGGAUGCAGAAAGAGAGGGAAGGAGCCACAUGGUGCAGAGGAAACAGUGAGAAGAGAAGCAGCUGUAAGCUGGGAACGGGCUUCACUGGAAAUCAACCCUGAUGGCACCUUGACCUUGAACUUCUGACCUCUGGAACUGUGAGAAAAUAAAUUUCUGUUGUUUAAGUCACCAAACCUGUGGUUUGUUACAGCCAUCUGAGCACAUACAACUACUAUUUAAGAAACCCAAACUUGAAACUCAGGUAUGAAAAAUAGGGUCACCCCUUCCCAUCCAUGCCUUCCUAACCACUUCUAACACACCUUCUCUUUUAAAUACACCUCAAAGGUCUCCUUCCUUUCUAUUUCCAGUAUUAUUGUCACAUCUACUCAUAUUUGAGAUAGUGAGUUAACAUUUUCCUACUACCAGAGUCAAUUUAUAAUCUCACCAGUGGGUUGUUUUUAUUUAUGUUGUUCUCUGCUACAUAUCUUCCAAAGUUCUGGAUUAACUCUUGCACAAAGUCCAAUUACCCUCCAAUUCAGAGUCUGGCUACCAUCUACCCUUCAUGACUCCCAACUCAAAAAACUGUGUAUAUUUUGAACAAACAUCUCCUGACCACCACCACCCUCAACAGCCACUGAACUUGCUCACUGUCCCAGAAUGUAAAGUGAAUCCACUGUGAUCAUUCCAACUCCUCAUCAUUCAUCAAGUCUCCUCUGCAGGCCACAGUUCACUAUCCCUACUAGCAGUAGCAAGUGUCAUGUGGAAAUUACAAUAAAAAUGACAACUUUUUGACUGCUUACUACAAGCCAGCAACUGAAGCCAGAACUUCAAUCAUCUUACUGAUUUUUUUCACCAAAACCCUAUGCACUCAAUAACACUGUUGCCAGUUUUCAAGUGGGAAAGCCGAGGUCCCUAUUGCUCAGAGUAAGGCCAGUCCUAUUGUGUUUCUCCCUGCCACAUUCCAUCCUUGACAUUCCUUUGGUGCUUGGUGCUGGAAUAUCUAUCCUUUCAAGUGUAGAUGCUGUUCCCCUCCCAGUCUGGAGGCUCUUGAAGGUAAGUCCUGUGUCUUACUUCAUUUGGUCAUUGAAAACUGUACCAGUUCUCACUUUUCUGUUUCUUUGUGACUUAAGCUUCUGAUCCCUACCCUUAGUUGGUAGCAGUUCCCAUGCCUUGGUCUUUGGCUCUCUGUUCUUCUCCUGCUAUACACUUGGUAUAGUAACUCCAUUACACCUGCAUGGUUGAACACUUCCAGGGAUGUCAACUCUCACUUGGGGAGGAUGAUACAGCUCUGAGAUAAGCUGCUGACCAGCCAGGAACUGGGAGAAUGAGCACCCCUGUCUUAAAUGUGGACCUGUGUAAUCCAGUUGACUCUUAGCUACUUGCCUAAAAGAUCGUUC
Molecule: non-coding RNA, 3562 nt
Organism: Heterocephalus glaber (naked mole-rat)
Lineage: Eukaryota; Metazoa; Chordata; Mammalia; Rodentia; Bathyergidae
Source: RefSeq, a predicted model, not a curated record